RNAcentral lists this long non-coding RNA (566 nucleotides) under Trifolium pratense (red clover). RNAcentral's name for it is "long non-coding RNA (TPRA_LNC013514)". The record is from RNAcentral. Lineage: Eukaryota; Viridiplantae; Streptophyta; Magnoliopsida; Fabales; Fabaceae.
UUUCUUCUUAAAUACACCUAUAAAUAGUAUCAAUAUAUAUAUGUUAUGUUCUCCUCAAUCUUGAAUGAACAUUAACGUCAUGGAAAUCUCAUAGAAACAUUGGCUCAUCUUCUUCCAUGAAUGAACACCGUCGCUCCGCCGUCUGUUUCUGCCAACCCAGAUCAAAAUCACAUCUCCUCCUCUCUUGAUUUCGCGGUAGACUUAGUGUUGGGUUGCGGUUUUCUCUUCUCUCUGGUCGAUGAACAGUAACGCAAUUUCCUCUUUCUCGUUGAACAAUAAUGGGAUUCAAAGCUCUUAGGUGCUCUGAUUCAUUUACAAGCAUUGUUUUCUGACCUCGUUUGUUUCUCUAGAUUUCCAACGAUCUGGUUUUCACUUCGCCGUCAUUUCGCUUGCUAGAUCUGGUUUUCAAUUUGCAGCAGAUCUGGUUUUUGGGUCUUGCUUGAUUUAUGUUUUCUUAAUGUUUGCUUGAUUUUGGUGUGAAAAAAAAAUGUUUGCUUGAUUUUGCUAUGUGAUUUAUGGGUUCAAUUUCUUAGAUCUGGUUUUUGAAUUGUGGAUAUUAGUUUUUU